GAUGUCAUACUUCCAAGAAAAGCUUGCACUGUCAUAAAUAAAAAUCGCCUGUACCAUAACCGACACAGGUGGGUAGGUAGAGUAUACUAAGGGGCGCGAGAUAACUCUCUCUAAGGAACUCGGCAAAAUAACUCCGUAACUUCGGGAGAAGGAGUGCCUUAUUCGUAAGGCUGCAAUAACAAGAUCCAAGCAACUGUUUAUCAAAAACACAGGUCUCCGCUAAGUCGUAAGACGAUGUAUGGGGGCUGACGCCUGCCCAGUGCCAGAAGGUUAAAGAAGUCGGUUAGCAUUAGCGAAGCUGGUAACUGAAGCCCUGGUGAACGGCGGCCGUAACUAUAACGGUCCUAAGGUAGCGAAAUUCCUUGUCGGGUAAGUUCCGACCCGCACGAAAGGCGUAAUGAUUGGGAUACUGUCUCGGAGAGGGGCUCGGUGAAAUAGACUUGUCUGUGAAGAUGCGGACUACCUGCACCAGGACAGAAGACCCUAUGAAGCUUUACUGUAACUUGAAAUUGAAAUUGGACUUUAUUCGCGCAGUAUAGGUGGGAGGUGUUGAUUAUAAUCUUGCGGGAUUAUUGGAGCCAUCAGUGAGAUACCACUCUUGUAAUGUUAGAUUUCUAACUUUGAAUCAUUAUCUGGUCAAAGAACAGUUUCAGGCGGGCAGUUUGACUGGGGCGGUCGCCUCCUAGAUGGUAACGGAGGCGUACAAAGGUUUCCUCUGAACGGGUAGAAAUCGUAUCUAGAGUGUAAAGGCAUAAGGAAGCUUGACUGUGAGACCUACAAGUCGAGCAGGGACGAAAGUCGGUCUUAGUGAUCUGACGGUACUGAGUGGAAAGGCCGUCACUCAACGGAUAAAAGUUACUCUAGGAUAACAGGCUGAUCUCCCCCAAGAGUUCACAUCGACGGGGAGGUUUGGCACCUGGAUGUCGGCUCAUCGCAUCCUGGGGCGGUAGUACGUCCCAAGGGUUGGGCUGUUCGCCCAUGAAAGCGGUACGCGAGCUGGGUUCAGAACGUCGUGAGACAGUUCGGUCCAUAUCCGGUGUAGGCGUUAGAAUAUUGAGAGGAGCCUUCUUUAGUACGAGAGGACCGAGAAGGACAUACCUCUGGUGUACCAGUUAUCGUGCCAACGGUAAACGCUGGGUAGCUAUGUAUGGAGUGGAUAACCGCUGAAAGCAUCUAAGUGGGAAGCCCACCUCAAGAUAAG
RNAcentral lists this ribosomal RNA (1201 nucleotides) under metagenome. RNAcentral describes it as "bacterial LSU rRNA". It matches the Rfam family "Bacterial large subunit ribosomal RNA", at positions 1596 to 2808 of the family's 2925-position model. The record is from RNAcentral.